GCCGGGGUGUUGGAAUUGGCAGACAAUGCAGACUUAAAAUCUGCUGUCCCGUGAGGGACGUGCGGGUUCGAGUCCCGCCCCCGGCA
This 86-nucleotide transfer RNA is filed under the name Candidatus Omnitrophica bacterium 4484_171. Its description in RNAcentral is "tRNA-Leu". It matches the Rfam family "tRNA". From Rfam's summary of the family: Transfer RNA (tRNA) molecules are approximately 80 nucleotides in length. Lineage: Bacteria; Pseudomonadati; Candidatus Omnitrophota. The record is from RNAcentral. RNAcentral also lists the same sequence under 1 other name.